GUACGCUGGCGGCACGCCUAACACAUGCAAGUCGAACGAAGUAGCAAUACUUAGUGGCAGACGGGUGAGUAACAUGUAGGUAUCUGCCCUUUGGCCUGGAAUAACACGAGGAAACUUGUGCUAAUACCGGAUAAGUCUUUACGGAGAAAGCUUUAUGCACCAUUGGAUGAGCCUGCACUUGAUUAGUUUGUUGGUGGGGUAAUGGCCUACCAAGACUGUGAUCAAUAGCUGAUUUGAGAGGAUGAUCAGCCACAUUGGGACUGAGACACGGCCCAAACUCCUACGGGAGGCAGCAGUGGGGAAUCUUGCACAAUGGAGGAAACUCUGAUGCAGCGAUGCCGCGUGAGUGAAGAAGGCCUUUGGGUUGUAAAGCUCUUUCGUCGGGGAAGAAAAUGACUGUACCCGAAUAAGAAGGUC
Molecule: ribosomal RNA, 417 nt
Filed under: uncultured bacterium
Lineage: Bacteria
Description: bacterial SSU rRNA
Rfam family: Bacterial small subunit ribosomal RNA
Source: RNAcentral